This 914-nucleotide long non-coding RNA is filed under the name Portunus trituberculatus (swimming crab). RNAcentral's name for it is "uncharacterized LOC123499827, transcript variant X3". The record is from RNAcentral. Lineage: Eukaryota; Metazoa; Arthropoda; Malacostraca; Decapoda; Portunidae.
CAACAGCGUAGACGCAGAGCAAACCGUGUGGCCUGUGUUCGUGAGGUGGUCAAGGUUGAGGCUCCAGGUUGAGACUUGUGCUGAGUUUUUCCUGGUCUUUCUCCUGCAAUACACCGUACUAAGCCAGACAGCUCGGCGGUCGUUACAGUCGGCAGUUGGCAUCAUGGAGGACCGAGGAGGGAGAGAAAGAUGGGAGAGCGAGCAGCGACUGUGCUAUCAGUAUCAGCUGAGCUAUCAGCUGAUCCCAGACCGAGCAGACAGGCAGGCGGUAGCCAUUUAGCCAGUCCCCGUAGAGAUGACCUGUGUAUCCCUGCCUUUCUCGCCGUCUCAGCUGUCAUGCAGCCUCCUGACUCGCCACACAGAGACAUCAGGUUUCAGUCAUGAAGUUCGUGGUGGAGCAUGUGAGUAAGGAUUGAGGACAGCCAGGCAGGCUGGGUGGUCUUUGCAGCCAUCCUGAUAGUAUCCACACCACUCCACUCUUCCUUAUUUCCACCAAGGGAGGCAGUGCACCUCAUCUCAUGCAAAAAAUGACGUUGCACAGCUGAUCGGGGGACAAGAAGACCGAGGAGGAAUGUAGCACGCUGUAUCCAGAGGAUGUGCUGCUCCAGUGACGUGGCUUUGAGGGAAGCGCCUCUCUGUAUCCUUGCCCAGCUCUUUAUGGAACACAUGAAGGUGCUCCAAGUUCCAAGAAGGGAGUGGUACACACACUGCUGCACUCCAAGCUUUUGGAGGUCCAGCAGCACACUGCUUUCAUAAAUUUGUGUGUAGAGUGCAAUACAGAGAGUGGCAAGGAUGGAGGAUGCUUCAACAUUCACAGCAUCAGUGGUUCAUGUGUGUGUGUGUGUGUGUGUGUGUGUGGAAGGUAGUGAACACAGUUUUAUCUGAAAGAUUGUCAUCAUUUACAUUAAUAGAUU